AGAGUUUGAUCCUGGCUCAAGACGAACGCUGGCGGCGCGCCUAACACAUGCAAGUCGAACGAGCGAGAGGAGGUUUACUUUCUCAAGCGAGUGGCGAACGGGUGAGUAACGCGUGAGGAACCUGCCUCAAAGAGGGGGACAACAGUUGGAAACGACUGCUAAUACCGCAUAAGCCCACGACCCGGCAUCGGGUAGAGGGAAAAGGAGCAAUCCGCUUUGAGAUGGCCUCGCGUCCGAUUAGCUAGUUGGUGAGGUAAUGGCCCACCAAGGCAACGAUCGGUAGCCGGACUGAGAGGUUGAACGGCCACAUUGGGACUGAGACACGGCCCAGACUCCUACGGGAGGCAGCAGUGGGGAAUAUUGCACAAUGGGGGAAACCCUGAUGCAGCGACGCCGCGUGGAGGAAGAAGGUCUUCGGAUUGUAAACUCCUGUUGUUGAGGAAGAUAAUGACGGUACUCAACAAGGAAGUGACGGCUAACUACGUGCCAGCAGCCGCGGUAAAACGUAGGUCACAAGCGUUGUCCGGAAUUACUGGGUGUAAAGGGAGCGCAGGCGGGAAGACAAGUUGGAAGUGAAAUCUAUGGGCUCAACCCAUAAACUGCUUUCAAAACUGUUUUUCUUGAGUAGUGCAGAGGUAGGCGGAAUUCCCGGUGUAGCGGUGGAAUGCGUAGAUAUCGGGAGGAACACCAGUGGCGAAGGCGGCCUACUGGGCACCAACUGACGCUGAGGCUCGAAAGUGUGGGUAGCAAACAGGAUUAGAUACCCUGGUAGUCCACACCGUAAACG
RNAcentral lists this ribosomal RNA (787 nucleotides) under uncultured bacterium. RNAcentral describes it as "bacterial SSU rRNA". It matches the Rfam family "Bacterial small subunit ribosomal RNA", at positions 8 to 808 of the family's 1533-position model. The record is from RNAcentral.